UGCCUUUGUCGUACAGGAAUACGCCUUCCUUUUCGGGGGGGGGGCCGUUGGUUAUAUGCUGACAGGGGUUAC
RNAcentral lists this transfer RNA (72 nucleotides) under Sporomusa sphaeroides DSM 2875. Its description in RNAcentral is "tRNA-Glu". Lineage: Bacteria; Bacillati; Bacillota; Negativicutes; Selenomonadales; Sporomusaceae. The record is from RNAcentral.